This 161-nucleotide ribosomal RNA is filed under the name uncultured bacterium. Its description in RNAcentral is "partial 16S ribosomal RNA". It matches the Rfam family "Bacterial small subunit ribosomal RNA", at positions 371 to 524 of the family's 1533-position model. The record is from RNAcentral.
AUGGGGGCAACCCUGAUCCAGCCAUGCCGCGUGCAGGAUGAAGGCCUUCGGGUUGUAAACUGCUUUUGUACGGAACGAAAAGCUCUCCUCUAAUAAAGGGGGGUCAUGACGGCACCGUAAGAAUAAGCACCGGCUAACUACGUGCCAGCAGCCGCGGUAAU